UACGUAGGAGGCGAGCGUUGUUCGGAUUUACUGGGCGUAAAGGGCGCGUAGGCGGUCAGCACAAGUCAGUUGUGAAAUCUCCGGGCUUAACUCGGAAAGGUCAACUGAUACUGUGCGACUAGAGUGCAGAAGGGGCAACUGGAAUUCUCGGUGUAGCGGUGAAAUGCGUAGAUAUCGAGAGGAACACCUGCGGCGAAGGCGGGUUGCUGGGCUGACACUGACGCUGAUGCGCGAAAGCCAGGGGAGCGAACGGG
This 254-nucleotide ribosomal RNA is filed under the name uncultured bacterium. Its description in RNAcentral is "partial 16S ribosomal RNA". It matches the Rfam family "Bacterial small subunit ribosomal RNA", at positions 524 to 776 of the family's 1533-position model. The record is from RNAcentral.